Molecule: ribosomal RNA, 253 nt
Filed under: uncultured bacterium
Lineage: Bacteria
Description: partial 16S ribosomal RNA
Rfam family: Bacterial small subunit ribosomal RNA
Source: RNAcentral
GACAGAGGCGCCAAGCGUUAGGCGGAAUCAUUGGGCGUAAAGCGCGUGUAGGCGGCCAGGUAGGUCCGCUGUGAAAACCCGAGGCUCAACCUCGGGACGUCGGCGGAAACCAUCUGGCUAGAGUCCGGAAGAGGAGAGUGGAAUUCCCGGUGUAGCGGUGAAAUGCGCAGAUAUCGGGAAGAACACCCGUGGCGAAGGCGGCUCUCUGGGACGGUACUGACGCUGAGACGCGAAAGCGUGGGGAGCGAACAGG